This 229-nucleotide ribosomal RNA is filed under the name uncultured bacterium. RNAcentral describes it as "partial 16S ribosomal RNA". It matches the Rfam family "Bacterial small subunit ribosomal RNA", at positions 568 to 796 of the family's 1533-position model. The record is from RNAcentral.
UGCGUAGGCGGAUUAAUAAGUCAGUGGUGAAAACCUGCAGCUUAACUGUAGAACCGCCAUUGAUACUGUUAGUCUUGAGUACGGUCAAGGUAGGCGGAAUGUGUAAUGUAGCGGUGAAAUGCUUAGAUAUUACACAGAACACCGAUUGCGAAGGCAGCUUACUGGACCAUUACUGACGCUGAGGCACGAAAGCGUGGGGAGCGAACAGGAUUAGAUACCCUGGUAGUCC